AGCAGCCGCGGUAAUUCCAGCUCCAAUAGCGUAUAUUAAAGUUGUUGCAGUUAAAAGCUCGUAGUUGAAUUUCGGGAUCAAUUUAUCGGUCGUGCCUACGGUAUGAACUGGUACAAUUGGUUUCUCCCUUCUGACGAAGCAUGAUGCCAUUAAUUUGGUGUCGUGGGGAAUCAGGACUGUUACUUUGAAAAAUUAGAGUGUUUAAAGCAAGCAUUAGCUUGAAUACAUUAGCAUGGAAUAAUGAAAUAGGACGUUUGAUCCUAUUUCGUUGGUUUCUAGGAUCGACGUAAUGAUUAAUAGGGAUAGUUGGGGGGCAUUAGUAUUCAAUUGUCAGAGGUGAAAUUCUUGGAUUUAUUGAAGACUAACUACUGCGAAAGCAUUUGCCAAGGAUGUUUUCAUUAAUCAAGAACGAAAGUUAGGGGAUCGAAGACGAUCAGAUACCGUCGUAGU
RNAcentral lists this ribosomal RNA (450 nucleotides) under uncultured Glomeromycotina. Its description in RNAcentral is "SSU rRNA". It matches the Rfam family "Eukaryotic small subunit ribosomal RNA", at positions 569 to 1024 of the family's 1831-position model. Lineage: Eukaryota; Fungi; Glomeromycota. The record is from RNAcentral.